RNAcentral lists this ribosomal RNA (253 nucleotides) under uncultured bacterium. RNAcentral's name for it is "partial 16S ribosomal RNA". It matches the Rfam family "Bacterial small subunit ribosomal RNA", at positions 524 to 776 of the family's 1533-position model. The record is from RNAcentral.
UACGGAGGGUGCGAGCGUUGUUCGGAAUCACUGGGCGUAAAGCGCGUGUAGGCGGCCUUGUAAGUCUGGUGUGAAAGCCCGGGGCUUACCCCCGGAAGUGCACUGGAGACUGCAAGGCUGGAGUACCGGAGAGGAAGGUGGAAUUCCUGGUGUAGCGGUGAAAUGCGUAGAUAUCAGGAGGAACACCGGUGGCGAAGGCGGCCUUCUGGACGGAUACUGACGCUGAGACGCGAAAGCGUGGGGAGCAAACAGG